UGGCGGACGGGUGAGUAACGCGUGGGUAACCUGCCUCAUACAGGGGGAUAACGGUUAGAAAUGACUGCUAAUACCGCAUAAGCGCACAGUACCACAUGGUACGGUGUGAAAAACUCCGGUGGUAUGAGAUGGACCCGCGUCUGAUUAGCUAGUUGGUGGGGUAACGGCCCACCAAGGCGACGAUCAGUAGCCGACCUGAGAGGGUGACCGGCCACAUUGGGACUGAGACACGGCCCAG
RNAcentral lists this ribosomal RNA (238 nucleotides) under uncultured bacterium. RNAcentral's name for it is "partial 16S ribosomal RNA". It matches the Rfam family "Bacterial small subunit ribosomal RNA", at positions 96 to 334 of the family's 1533-position model. The record is from RNAcentral.